RNAcentral lists this ribosomal RNA (254 nucleotides) under uncultured bacterium. RNAcentral describes it as "partial 16S ribosomal RNA". It matches the Rfam family "Bacterial small subunit ribosomal RNA", at positions 524 to 776 of the family's 1533-position model. The record is from RNAcentral.
UACGGAGGGUGCAAGCGUUAUCCGGAUUCACUGGGUUUAAAGGGUGCGUAGGCGGGCAGGUAAGUCAGUGGUGAAAUCUCCGAGCUUAACUCGGAAACUGCCGUUGAUACUACUUGUCUUGAAUAUUGUGGAGGUAAGCGGAAUAUGUCAUGUAGCGGUGAAAUGCUUAGAUAUGACAUAGAACACCAAUUGCGAAGGCAGCUUACUACACAAUGAUUGACGCUGAGGCACGAAAAGCGUGGGGAUCAAACAGG